This is a long non-coding RNA of Equus caballus (horse), 815 nucleotides long. Lineage: Eukaryota; Metazoa; Chordata; Mammalia; Perissodactyla; Equidae. The record is from Ensembl.
GAAGCUGGUGCUUUAUGAUGAAGUCACUCUCCCCCUUGCAAGGUUGCUGGAACAAUUUUAUCAUGAUUCUGAUAUUUGACAAUUAAAGUAGUUGACUGUUUCACUCCUUUUGCCUUUUAAUAUUCUAGGAACCACCGCCCAAAGAGAGGAUCUGUUGCUGUCAAUAUUACGCAUCACUCUUCUCAUAGAUAUCCAGCAUAUACAAAGCUCAGAGAAGAUAAAAAUGAAGAGGAAAUUGGUUCUGUUCCUAAGGAAUUUAAUCUAACAGGAGAGACAACUGAAUCCACUGCAAUAUCCCCCAAAUGCAGGCCUUGUUUAAAAGGAGCAAGGAGAGUACAAAAAGAGGAAGCAAUUAAUUCUAUUUUGGGCUUAGGAAGAAGGCUUGACGGGUUCAUGGCAAUUGGGCUUAGUGUUAGGAGAUAAGAUUUUCCAGGUAUAAAUAACAGUGUAAAUGUCUUAAAGAUGUGGAAGUUUAUGGCUUCCUAUUACAACUAUUUAUCUUCUAUCAUUUAAAAUAACCUGUACUACAUUGCAAAAGUGCUUGGAACUCCUUCUAGUUAGCACACUAUGCAUAUGUAUAUUUUGAUAUCAGAAAUUUACAGAUUUUAAAAAUUGCUUCAGAAUUUUCCUAACAUCUGCCAAAGUGAAGAUCCAUAAUUUGAUGACUUACUUAUGUAAAAUAUGUUCUACAUAAUUUAUUUUAUGACUCAAUAAAGUCAUAUAUUGAAAGACAUAUACUUUUAUGAAUUAAUAUAACCAGUAAGUUAAACUAGCAUUACUCAUAGAUGAAACCACAAAGCAACUUUGUGUUCAAG